RNAcentral lists this ribosomal RNA (426 nucleotides) under uncultured prokaryote. RNAcentral's name for it is "bacterial SSU rRNA". It matches the Rfam family "Bacterial small subunit ribosomal RNA", at positions 355 to 796 of the family's 1533-position model. The record is from RNAcentral.
UGGGGAAUUUUCCGCAAUGGGCGCAAGCCUGACGGAGCAAUACCGCGUGAGGGAGGAAGGCUUUUGGGUUGUAAGCCUCUUUUCUCAAGGAAGAAGCACUGACGGUACUUGAGGAAUCAGCAUCGGCUAACUCCGUGCCAGCAGCCGCGGUAAUACGGAGGAUGCAAGCGUUAUUCGGAAUUAUUGGGCGUAAAGCGUCCGCAGGUGGUGCCUCAAGUCUGCUGUCAAAGACCGAAGCUCAACUUCGGGCAGGCAGUGGAAACUGAAGCACUUGAGGCCUGUAGAGGUAUGUGGAAUUGCCGGUGUAGUGGUGAAAUGCGUAGAGAUCGGCAGGAACACCCAGGGGGAAGCCAGCAUACUGGACAGGUCCUGACACUCAGGUGCGACAGCGUGGGGAGCGAACCGGAUUAGAUACCCGUGUAGUCC